RNAcentral lists this ribosomal RNA (406 nucleotides) under Babesia vogeli. Its description in RNAcentral is "SSU rRNA". It matches the Rfam family "Eukaryotic small subunit ribosomal RNA", at positions 440 to 901 of the family's 1831-position model. Lineage: Eukaryota; Apicomplexa; Aconoidasida; Piroplasmida; Babesiidae. The record is from RNAcentral.
AUUACCCAAUCCUGACACAGGGAGGUAGUGACAAGAAAUAACAAUACAGGGCUAAUGUCUUGUAAUUGGAAUGAUGGUGACCCAAACCCUCACCAGAGUAGCAAUUGGAGGGCAAGUCUGGUGCCAGCAGCCGCGGUAAUUCCAGCUCCAAUAGCGUAUAUUAAACUUGUUGCAGUUAAAAAGCUCGUAGUUGAAUUUUAGCGUGUUCGAGUUUGCCAUUCGUUUGGCUUUUUCGAGUUCGCUUUUGGGUUUUCCCUUUUUACUUUGAGAAAAUUAGAGUGUUUCAAGCAGACUUUUGUCUUGAAUACUUCAGCAUGGAAUAAUAGAGUAGGACUUUGGUUCUAUUUUGUUGGUUAUUGAACCUUAGUAAUGGUUAAUAGGAACGGUUGGGGGCAUUCGUAUUUAA